Molecule: long non-coding RNA, 14765 nt
Organism: Passer domesticus (house sparrow)
Lineage: Eukaryota; Metazoa; Chordata; Aves; Passeriformes; Passeridae
Exons: 4
Source: RefSeq, a predicted model, not a curated record
GGUGUUUUCAUUUCCUUCAUGAAAACAGAACCAUCCCAGCUUUGAGCAGUUGCUUUACUCACAUUCUAGGAUAACUAAGUCAGAAUAUUACACAUGUGUUUAAGAUACCUUGGAGCUAUGAUGGCAUUUUGAUUGGAAAAGCUGUCAGCUAUUGCAGGAACAGAACCAAAUAUGUAAGAAACUGCCAACAGAGAGAUUCAGGAGGAUAUAGACUUCGUGAAGAAACACAGCCCUCUGCUGGAAGAAAAGCUGAAUCCAAGGACACAGCUGUGGAGGAUGUAUGGAAAGAGACAUCUGUGUUUCAAAAUAUGGAGACGUCAGAAGCUGUCAAAAAAAGUUUACAAGAUUCAACGAAUCUUUACUGUUGAUUUACAUUUUUCUAAUGUAUUUACUUAUGGUAUUUAUUGAUUGUAAUAUUGAUAAUAUUUUUAAUGGUAAAUGCCUAAUGUGGAGGAUGCCAGUCUAAAUAAUCAAAGUAUAACAAAGUUACUGGUAACUUAAAAUUGAUUUUUUAAAACUGGAGGGAUGCUGUGCUACUUCAAAUUCAGAUAUUAGGAAUAAUUAUUAUGUUUUCAAUAUAUUUGCUAUAAUACCUUUUAGGUACAAAUCUAGAGUACAAUCUCUUUUCAAGGUACUUACAGUCUAAAAUGGUCUCUUUUCUGGCAAGUGAUUCAUAAUGUUGUUUCUUUUGUUUUAUUUUUAACUCAGUUUUGGGGAACUCUGAAGUCGUGUCAAAAUACUUCUAAAAUGAAAAAGUUAAUUGCCUAUUACACAAAUAAUAUAAGAACUAUCAUGAAUGAGUUCUGAGUUAUUAAAUACAUCACCAUUUUAUCAGUGCUAUAUGCCUGAAAUACUAAUUAAAAAUCAAGUUAGUAACAGUUUAUUUUUUAAGUUGGAUGUCUUUUUUCCAUGUUAAUGUCCUAAAAUAUAUGCAACUAAAAUAUUGAGAGGUACUUCAAUACAACUCAUAAAGUAGACUUAAAAUGUUUUUAAAGGCUAUUUUAAAACCCUCUUUUUUUCAGAGCAUUUUCUUUCUUUCUUUCCAAAAAUUGGUACUGCAUAUAACAAGAAGACAGACUUAUUGUUAUUGUAUUCAUAUGUCUUUACAUAUAUGUAUUUAUCUUAUUUAUAUAUUUCAUUUCAACAGAAUUUUUAAAUGUCAAGUAAAUUAUCUGUGACUUUUAUUGUGCUCUGAUUUAACUGUUUCUUACUCAGGUUUGGGGUUUCCUGCCAUGAUCUUAAAAAAGGACCUGAUACUUAGUUACCUUUGCAAUUACAAUAAUUAUUUAAUUUUUAAUAUCUAGUUUUUAAUAGCCAGAGAACUAAUUUAAGCAGUGAAGUUAAGCUAGAUUCUAAUAAAGAUUUUAUAUCAUGUUGUUUAUAUUUGUGGUAUUUUAAAAAGCAGAGGCAACAGACAUGCAUAUCUCUAUUUGAGAGCUGUUACAAACUGUGUGCACAAAUAUUAUCUAUCCCAUUAAAAAAAUAUGGUCAUUGUGUUUUCUGCAAGGCUGCACACCCUCUAGGAGAUGCUUCAGUAAUGAUUUUGCCAGGUUACUGAGUGAAACCUCUGUGGCUUCUUUGCACAUUAUUUCUUUCUUUCUGCUCCAGAGGUCACUAUCUUCCCAUGAAAGUAGCCACCUUUUCAAAAUAACUCCAAAAUUCUGUAACAGAAGGAAAGCCCUCUCGCUAGCAUUUUUUUUAAAUUGUGCAAUUUUACAAUGCAUUCUGUUGUCUUUCCCUGGCACUUCAAAUUUAAACAUCAAUUUUUAAACGGACAAGGAGAAGAUAAAUCUUGGAAUUUCUUUUUCAUUUCAAACAUUAUAUAUGCCUUUUAUAUAAAUUCUUUCAGAAAACUUGUUUUCUGACAUCAAAAAUAUGCAGUGAUGUUCAUUGUGAAUUCAUAGAAACACAAAAGAGAAUGAAAAGGAUUGAUGAAGAAUCUGAACAAAGAUGCUUGUGUGUAUGACAAAAUUAAAUAUGCUGAGAUGCUUUGAGUCAAUAGAAGUAAGAGCUCUCCACUAUGGUAUUAUAAUUUCCUGUUGGUUUUAAUAGAGGCAACCAAACUAUAGAAAAUUUCCUUGUAGAAAUUAUUUUAAAUUCUCUUGGUUUUUUUCUUCAAUUAAAAUAAUAGAAUUAUACGUGUUUAUCUCUUUUGUCUUAGCUUCCAUUAGCAGAAUAAGGAAGACAUGAUGUCCAGAAUUAUAUUCAAAUAUAAAGUUCCAUGAAUGAACUUCUAAAGCAUGCCACUUUUGUCUCAUAUUUUCUGCUUAUGAAUUUUUAAUCCCUUUGGUAUCAUUCUUACUGCACAAAUUACUGGAAUUUAUCAAAAUACCUUUUCUAUUUUCUUAUUUUUAAUAAACCAGCAAAAUUACUUUAUUGGAUUGCAAGGUAGCUUCUAUAUGGCAGUGGCUUAUGUUAGUGUUUCCUUGCUGUAACCUCUUAUCAGGUUAUUAACUGCUGGAUUAUCAAGUAGAGCUAUAGUAACACUUGGACACCACAUACAGCCAGUCACUGACAAAUAAUCCUUCCUUUCUAUCUCUGAAUAUACAGACAAAGAGUCAGCACUAAGAAUAAGUGUGCCAAAGAACAAGAAUAUCAAAUAUUUGAUGUUUGGUAAGAGAUUACACUCGACUUUGCUGCAUAUGCCCAUGGCUCGUUGCCAGCUUUUAUCUGGCAAAGUAGCAAGUGACAUAGUGGCCUUUUCUUUUUCACUUGAGAUGAGGAAAGCUCACAGGAACAAUUGAAAAGCAGUCAUAAACUUUUGAAAUAUCUUGAGUGGCCAGUUCCACAGCCAUGUGACAACACCUGUUCUUCAAAUAUCAGGUGUUUAAAAAACUAUGCAUGGUAAUUAUGGAGUAUAUAAAUUUCUUAGUAAAUAAUGAAAUUUGGUCCAUCUUAUUCGUUCAGAACUACCUAGGUUCACUAGGAAUUUAUAGGGCAGUUUCAUGUUUCAAGUUUUUCUCUGCAUUACCUGAGUUGGGUCAGCAUGCACUGUUCUGAUAUUCCAGAGAGCUGAUGUUAAAAAGUGCCUCAUGUACAGCAGGGGUUGAAAACAUGUCCUGAUCACUGUGCUUCAUUCAUUCAGUAAAUCUAAUGCUAAUGAUUGAGUUGUAUGUGCAAACUGGAGUCCUUGGUAACUUCAUUUCAGUAAAUGUCAAUUUCCCAUCCAGCACGAUCAUUACAAGGGAUUGUCCAUCUCCCAUUCCCUGUUUCUUCUAAAUGAUCAUUUUCAUUUGAAGUCACUAUAGAGUUGGCCUCAUUAGUUUACCUAAGAGCUGUAAAGGAGCACUUAUGGAGCUGAAUAAAUGUUUCUUGCUACCAAAUUUCUUAUUUUUUAAAGAAACAAGGACUUUCAAGGGUGCCUGUUAUCUACCGAUCCAUGUAUCAUCACGGGUUACUGCCAUGCCUCUUCAAAAUGAAGACACUGAUGUUCUCUUACUGCAGGAUCUCUGUUUCCUUACACUGAUCCAUUCAGCUCACAGGAGGUGCUGUGAAUGCAACAUACCAAUGUUUUGUAGAGAUCAUUUGUAGAGGAGAAUUCUGUUUAUUGGACUAACAGUGGAAUUUCGUGAAGCUCCUGGCAGCAGCAUUAGAUUCCUUCAAGGAGAUGGGCUGUCUGUGUCAGUGAGAUAACUGGGUGAUGCCACAAUGCUGUGGCAGUCUUUCUCUAGACAUUUAAAUAUGACUGUGAGCUAUGAGAGCUACUCUUACCACCAGCACAGGUGUAAAGCCUGUAAGAGCUUUUAUUCACUUCUGCUCAGUGAAUCCUUUGCCAAGGAUCAUUCUCAUCUGUAUAUACCUAAGAAUCUUAUGCUAUAGGCCAACCCAUCUCUGCCAAGAAAUCAUUGAACUCCAGAGGUUGUUACUAGCAGAAAUAAAUGUGGUCAUUUUCAUUGUCUACAAGCCAGCAGCACACAGCCAGACUUUCUAAAAAGACAAAAGGUAAGCAAUGUGAAUAACUGAUUGUUGUGGUUUAACCCCAGUGGGCACCUGAGCCCCACACAGCAUCUUGCUCUCUUCCUCUGAGCCAGGAUGGUGUGGAGAAUCAGAAGGGUAAAAAUGAAAAAAGCCACUGUUUGAAAUAAAGACAGUUUAAGAGAAAAAGAAGAAGCCAUACACACAAGGAAAACAAAGCAAGAAAUUAAUUUACCACUUCCACGGGCAGGCAGGUGUUCAGCCAUCUCCAUGAAAGCCGAGAUCCAUCACAUCUGACAUUUGCUUGAGAAGAAAAACACCAUCACUGAGGAAGUAGAUUCCUUCAGCUGCCGUCUGAGGAGGACUAGAAUAACGUAACAUUGAUAGGCAUGAGCAAGAUUUGUGGUGGCACAGACUUGAAAGACUGCUCUGCAGUUCAUACUCUUUUCUUUAUGUUCAGUGCCAUCACUGAGAAAAUGAUGAAGAUUGCACGAAGCUGAAAAUACUGAAGCUGUUAUAAAUCACGCGGCACAGUCUGUGGCUUGCACACACGCAUUGUGGCUGGUGCUGCUGUAAUUUUUCAUGACAGCUACGAUUCAGAAAGUUGUGGCUGAUAGGCAAUAUGAGAAGAAAAUUACAGCCUAUGACUGUUACAUGUCUGUUGUUAGAAUAGUGCCAAAUACUAUUUAUAUGUCUGUUUCAUGGGUGGUGGGACCUGAGGAAGUGGAGGAGUUCAAAAUGCUGAGCUUCACACUCGUGCUAUACACAGCCUGUGACACCUGGCAAGGUAAGUCUAUACUUCAGGAUUAGAUGAAACCUUGGAAGCAAGUAAAUGAAGAAUGUCUCAAACAAUCUUGCAGAAAAGGCUCUUGAAUUAGCGAUGAAGUGACUUUUAUGAUUGUUUCCUCUUGUCUUAUUGGAGGGGUUUUUUUGGGUUGUACUGCAAUAGUUGUCUCUAAAACUCAGGUAUUGUUAGUCUUAGUUCUGCAGUGGUGGAUUUAUUUUACAGUAUAAGACACACUUUGGAAUAUGUUAUUGACCAGAAUAGUUCUCUUGGCUGCAUGGAGAAAACUUUUUUCUGCCUGCUGAAACAGUGAUAAAAAUAAUGGACAAACUCCAGCAGCCAUUGUAAAAUUUUUAUCUGAUAUGCCUCUAUUUCUUUUGCCUUUUUGUCAAAUCCAUUCACAAGUGUUAGAAAAACACAAUUUCUGCAGCCUAUAAUGAGGUCUAUAACCAUGUCUCAUGGGAGUGUUUUCCUCACAAUUGUUGCAGUUAUUAGUAUCUUGUUCUGUAAUUAUGCAAGUUUUCCUUCCUAUAAUGCUCUUAAAUCUGCUAUUCAGAGUGAAAACAAGGCCCUUAACCCCUCCUUUGACCUUGCCUUCAAGUUCCUUUUAGCAUGAACAAUUUAUGUCAGUGAAAAAUUUAAUGUCACAAAUGACAUUUGUCCACAAAAUUACAGCUCAGUGGAUUGAUGAAAUGAGGAUGGCUCUGAGCUAGAUUCAGCCACUAGCAGAAUGCUAACUCCUAUUUUGUUUAGUUAACAUGUGAGGUAUGAAAAAAGCCUUUCUUUAUCUACUCCAAUACCUGCUCAGAGGUCCAAUUAGAAGGUGUAAUGUUGGCGGGCUUUAAGUGAGAGUGAACUGGUAGCAUGAGUAGCUCCAGCUGAAAUUGCAUCUACCUCCCAGGGUGGAUAUUUUGAAAUUAUCUCAUGCUUACCUGUUCAAGUAACAUAGUAGAGAAUCAAAAUAAAUUUUUACUAAUUCAGAUCUACUUUACAUUUUCCUUUAUGGAGAGGGACUACCUUGGAGUAUUUCCAAAUAGAUGGAUUCAUUUUGUGUGUAUUUCUAUUAGGAAUGAGUUAAAGCAUUCUGAAUUUAUUUGGACCAAAUACUGUAUGAAGUUAAAAGAAACAGAAGAGAAGAUUAUAAAGGAUGAAAAACACCUUGAGGAGUUAGUGGAGCAAAAAGCAGAAAUCCAGGAAGAUGUAAAAUGUUGGAACAGCAAAUUGAGUCUUGAAUAUUUAUAAACAAGCAAGUAAAUGAGUAUCUGUUAUUGAAAAGUACAUGAAUCCCUAAAUAUAUUGUAUGUGUAAGAGUUAAGAUUCUCUGUAUAAGUAAAAAUAUAAAUACAGAUUUUAAAAUUAGAGGUGGUAAAUUCAGUAGAGAUCUCUUGUUCAUUAUUUUUAGUAUUACUUUUCUGCUUUAAUUAUUAAAAAUAUCAUCAAACCAUUUUAUGGUUUUGUAAGUUACCUCCAUAUUUUUCAUUUCUGGGCACAUAUCUGCCUAAUAUUUAUCUUCUCAAACCAUCUGGAAUAAUGUGUGCAGGUAGUGGGACAGCAUAACUGUCCUCUGAAGUUACCAGAUUUUUUAAUCUGACAUGGCAUGUGAUACAAUUUUAUAUCAUGCAUAAUUGUGCUCUAUUUUAUUUACAAUUUUCCACUUUUUCUUCUAUGUUUCCAUAACUAAUUUUUAAAUCUUGUACUUUGUAGUCUAAAAUCUGAACUGGAGCUCCUCACAGAGCCAGACUAUGAGUUUUCAGUUAAUUGACAGCUCCUGUUGAGCCAGUAGAAAAUGCUUAGAAAAUGUAGAUGCUCACAACAGAAUCUGGAUUAUUUUUUUUUUUUUUACAUGUAUGUAAAAAAUGUGUGUAUAUAUACCAGUGCAAAUAAAUACGAAAUUCAUUCCCUUGUACAUGCUCAGUACCGUUAUGGGUUGUCCAUCUUGAUAAAUAGGUCCUGCUAAUGAUCAAAUCCAGAAUAUACAAUAUGGAGGAUUUCUGAGAAGCUGACUAUACCAAGCAUACCCAGAAUUUAACAAAAAAUCCCCAAAGCACCCCCCUCAAAAAAGCAAAGAUACAGUCAUAUUGCAACCACCAACAGCCAUGUUCUUGCCUUUUUUUUUUUCAGCUGUAUAUUACAGUUCUUUUCUAUUGGUGGUGCCAGCAAUUGCUAGAACACAACUAUAUUCAAAUAGAGAAAAUACUUAUUAAUAAACCUUUUUUGUCCUUUUAUUUUUCUUUCUACAUAUAUUUCCAUCUGGGAUUGACAACCAGAUAUACUUCAGCAGGUACCACCUGGUUAUUAAGACCAAGACAAUACAAAGACAGAUAUGCACAGCAGGGAUAUUGUGGUGCAUGGAACUGCUCCAUUAGAUGACCACCGAAAAGUGAGCCAAGUUGAGCAAAAAUCUGAUUUGUUGUUGCAAAUUUCCUUCAAAAACAUGGCUAAAUCAACAAACUGAGUAUAUUUUUGUAAAUAACAAUAGAUAUUCAGAAAGUUCAAAAUUAUUCUUCUGAUCAUCAUAAAAUAUUUCAGAGGUAAUUGAGUUAUUUUAGGAAUCAGGAAAAUAUUGGGUUUGUGUUCAGUUUCUUCACUGGGGUUUGAAUCAGACCCAAAUUAGAACAUGACAAUUGUCACAUACACCAGUAAGUCUGAAGACAGAAUAAGUGAUGUGAACGAAUGUUUUUUGGCAUUGUUUUUCUUAGCUCUUUUUUCUUGUGUUAAUUCAUGCUGAUUUUAAAUGUUAUAUGUGAUCUAUUAGGAGUGUUACAACUUUUGACACUGUAAGGACAACUCUGAGUUUUCUUUUUAUCAUGCUAAUCAGAUUUACAUUACAAAAGGUAUCUGUAUAGAUUAAACCUAUUUUCUGUAUCUACCUGGGCUUUGUUUAUGAAAGAUUAGAAGAAACCCUUCUUAUAAAAUUGUUCUCAUCCUUAACUAUUAUUCUUUUGUUUUCAUUAAUUACCUGCACAGUGUGACAUUAUUUCAAGUAACUCCUGUCAAAAUAUUUGCUCUAAAAGCAUUGAAAGAGUGAAAAACAUUUCUGAAUAGUGUUUUCCCUAUGUACUAGCAAUUUAAAAACUAGGACAGUUUGCUCAUACUUAAUCAGUUGGGAUUUUUUUUCCCCUGUAGAUAUAGCCAACUCUUUGUCUUUCUUACACUUCACCUGAGCUAUAUUUAGAAUCACAGAAUGGUUUGGAUUGGAAGGGAUCUUAAAUAUCAUCUAGUUCCAGGACCUUGCUGAGGACAGGGGCACCUCCCACUAGUCCAGGUUCCCCAAAGUUCCAUCCAGCCUGGCCUUGAACAUUUUCAGGGUUGGGGCAUUAUAUUUCUCGCAGUAUUUUACACAUUGGGAGGCUUAUCCAUUUUGGGUUUUAUCUCCUCUUUCUAGGUUAGUAAAGGUGCUUCAUUGCAGUUUUUUUUUCUCAGAUCAUGCUUUAGAAUCCACAAUCAUUCAGGUCAGGACUUUCAGUCCCCAAAUAUUUAGGAAGGUGCAGCCAUUCAUGGACAAUUGCCAGAACCCUAGAGAAGUACAGCAGAGCUGUGACAUUCUGGUCAAGAUAACAAGUUCCUCCUUAGCUGCUGGGACACAGUCACAAAGAUUCAUAUGGAAAUCUGUUCUUUAUCAGAUGCUUGAGGUACCAGUAGGAAAUUACAUGCCAUUUAAAGUACCUGUAUCCCAAUUCUGUCGUGAUUUUCUCACAUAUAUUGUUCUCUAAGACUUUUAUUAUCAACCUUGAUCUUGCUAGACCAAACAACAUGUUUGUUGCCUGGUCAUAUUCCAGUUGGACUCUCAUCACUAUAUGAAAUGUAUAGGAUGUGGUGUUGUUUCAACUUUUGCAGAGGAAGGACAGGGAAGGAAACAAAGUUUAUUAGGCUUCAUGUGAACAGUUAUGCCUUUCUCCAUCUAAAACCACUUUAAAUUAUUUCCUUAUCCUCUAGAUGGUUGCUUCCCUAACAUCCUCGUUUUCCCUUAAGCUCUACUGAUUGAUCCAUCAUUGAUUUGAGCAGAGAAAUUAUGGAUUCUCCAUCCAUGAGAGUGUUCAAGACCAGGUUGGAUAGGGCCCUGAGCUGCCUGAUCUAGUGGAAGGUGUCCCUUUCUGUGGCAAAGGGGGUUGGAAUCAGAUGAUCUUUAGGGUUCUCCCAACCCAAACUAUUCUGUGAUGCUAUGAAUCUCUGCAUGAUUCAAAUUAAGAGAGAUAUUGAGAUGUUAAGUAAAGUCUUAAGGCUGAGGAAAAACUUGGGGUAUUCUGCUUAGUUAUACCACAUAUGUCAAGUGUGAGUUAGCAGGCUGUGAUUGUGCUCUCACUGAGAUUGUGAAGCCUAGAGAGUCUGCCAGGAUAUCCUUCAAGGCCAAUGCACAAAUGCACACAAUAGCAUGAAACAUCCCUAACUGCUCUUUAAUAAACUUCCUUUUAGAUUUUUUAAAAAAUAUUGUUUAUUAUCACAAAGAAACAUGAGAAAUUUGUAUUGCUUACUUUACAAUAUAUUUUUUAUAUAGAAUAUUUGAAUAACAAAAUAGCAGCCCAAGGAGAUGAGAGUUUAAAAUUAUCAGAUGCUGCUUCUUAAAUGAUAAAAACUGUGGAAGAAUCAGUACCUUCUUUUCUUUUUUUUUACUGUAAAUUAAUUAAAAUACUUGCAUACUUGUGCCUUCUGUGUUGGCCUGAAAUAAUUUCAGCUUAUGUCAAAGUGUCUUAAUGGUUUAAUGUUCAUUAGAAAUCCAUCAAGGAAAGCAAUCUACUCACCAUAAAUCAAAGGAUUCUAAAUAUUAAUGAAGCAUUGGAGAGUUUGAAAUGUAAAAAUUAAGAACAUGAGGGGAAAAAAUAGAGAGUUUGUGCAAAAAAUAAGAAAUAGUUAGUGCCAGCAAUAUAAUAUAGGAAGAAAGAAAGAAAAUAUGUACCUUGAAAAUGAGGAAGAUUCUGAAAUGGAUUUUUUUAAACAGAAACCUCAGUCCCCAAAACAUUUUGGUAAAAGCUUUUAUCAUGGUCUUUUUUUCAUUUGUGAUGGUUAUAAGCGUAGAAUCUUAAAUAUUAUUUUUCUCUAUUUUCUGUGAAUUCUUUUAAGAUAUGCACAUAUAUUUUGUAGCUCUUCAGUUUAUUGAUUCCAAAUGUCUGUAUUUUAAACAAUACUGUACAUAAUAUUCUCAGUGCAGAAAAAAAAUCACAUUUUUUUAGUUUCCUCUUCCUUUGAACUCUGAUUGUAUGCUGGUUUUAUUUAUCUGAUAGCUAUCAUCUUUAUCCUCGAGAAACUUUGGAUUUUAUUGUCUGGUUUCAACGAAGUCAUCUGAAAAGAUUUCUUGAAAAUAAUUAGAUUCCUACAAUUUUUGUAGAAAUUGAUGACUGAGUUGAAUAAAUACAUCCUGUCAGCAGGAAAACAUUCCUUACUAGAUGCCAAAAAUUCCCUAUAAGAGGUGUGGGAAAAGGGAGGGGAUCAGAUGAUGAAAAAAGGAGGAGUUAUGUCCAGAGUCCUUAUUAAUGGUCCAAGUCAGAGCUCAUACCUUAACACACCAGUGUAAAUCAAUGAUGGGACACAAAUGAGUAAUAAAUCAGGCUUCAUUAGUUCUGAUGUUGAUGAAACUACUUAUUGGGAUUAUUAGAAUAUUUUGAAAUUAGUGACAGCUUUCUAAAUUUAUUAUUUUCAAUUUCAUUGAUAUCUUUCUUGAUCAACAGAAUUUUUAUUUAAUUGUACCUGUAAUAAUGGAGAAAGAUCUUACCUGUUUUGGAAGUAUUAACUGAUAAGCUGAAAGAGGAAACUCAGGCUUGUAAGAAUUUGUAGAGACAAAUAGAAUCAGGAUUGAGAUGUGAGUUGUCAGAAAGCAUAUUUGAGAAUCACUGAGACCAGGUUGUACACUAAAACUUUACAGAUCAUAGAAAGACUGGGGACAUUCACAAGAUAAAUCCUUAGAGUGUUGUCUAUGUCACAUAUAAUUGGUAUUGCUAUGAGUGUGUCCUGCUCGUUGUCCUUCCACGUGUUUGGGAAUUCAAGAAGUGCAUGUGAAAAUUCAUAUUCAAGUCCCAGAGAAUGACAAAUUAUGGAGUUCCCAGUACUGAGGGAUUCCAGGAGCUCUAUGUAUGUCUUCAAAGGAUGAUCUGAAACCCUCCCUUGAGAAGGAAAUAUCUUCUCAGGCUGCCAUUUACUCUAGUCAGAGGAAAUAAUGAGUGUAGGCUAAAUGUAAUAUUCAAUUCAGAAGAAAUGCAUUCUGUAUCUUUACUAUAAAACAGAAUUCUGCUUCUGAUACAACCCCAAAUUUCUUUUUAUUGCUUUCUUAUGAUAAUGUAAGUUAACUCUUACAUGGACUUUCUGGAAUGCUGUUUUAUUGCACCCCUUCAUUUUCUCAGUUUUACUUUAAAAACCACUAGCCUGCAUCUAACAUAUUAGAUCUUUAGGAAGAAAGCAAUUGCUAAUCUCUCCUAAAAAUUAGAAGUUGUGUCCAUUCCUCUUGUGUGUUACUGAGUGCAAGGACAAAAAAGAGGGCUGUUUGUAGGUCUUUUUAUUUGAAAGUCUUCUCUUAUCUUUUCUGGAGUUAUCUUUACUGAAUAAGAAAUUUGUUUUAAACAAAGGUUGUAAAUAAAUAUAGUUGGAGAGUUGCCAUUAAGUGCUAUGAGAGAGGCAGAAUAUUUGGUUCUGCUCAGAAACCUUAAAUUUUUGGUCUUCCACUAAUUUCUUCCUUUGUGUUACCUUUCCUUCAUAUUAUGUUAGAUAUCUUGAGUGAAAGAAGCUGAGGAAAAGCAGUACACUUAACCUGAUAUUAACUCAAUUUCCAUGAAGACUGACUAUAUCUUACAGGUAUUAUCUGACCAGGAAAACUCACAUCUUCAUGCUACAUACAGCUGCUAAAUGCAUGAAAUCUUUGGAAAAGAUUCAAAUUAAUCAAUUAAUUAAAAUAAAUAAUAAAUUAAUUAAUUUCAAAAAUUAAACACUUAGUAUUGCUUCUCAAAUGGGGCAGAGUUCCUGAGUAAGCUGCAGAAGCUGUGAUAAAAGUUUCAACACCUGUACAUGAAGUGGACCAUGGAACGCAUUGCACCAAAGAACUUCUUUCAGCUGCAGUCCACUUGCUUUUCUGCCUGGAAUAUUUAUGUUUUUCUUGCAUCCAUGCUGAAAGUGCUUUGACUUCCAGAGUCAUGGGUAGCUGUGUAUACAUCAAAACAAUUUUGCUCCAUGUGAAAAUUAUAGGCAGUCAGAAUGGAACAAUUAUCAUUUGGUUCCUUUCAUUUCUUUCCAGCUUCAGCACGCAUCUGCUUACUCUGCACUGUUGAGACAAAUUACAGUCUUGGCUUUACUGUUUUGAAAUCUAAGUCUUGUUAUGACUAUAGACAUUUUGGAAGGAAUCUUUGAAGCUAUUUACCUUUGCCUUCACCAAAAGAAGAUUGACUAUAUAUAUUUUAAGAAACAAACAGAAGACUUUUUUAGGGUUUUCCAUGUUUACUCUUUCAAAACUUCCCCUAGGAAAAGAGAGUAGUUAAUUGUCCAGUGACCUCUUGCCAGUAUUUUAGGAUAUGUGUUAUGUUCUUUAGGUAGUUUUUUGAGAUAGAAAACUCUUUUUCCUGCAUAGUCCUUGUUAUGACCUGCCUCUGAGGCAGGGUAACUGAGGUUCUUGCUAGUAGAUCUCUUGGGAUUAGAGUGAAAUAAUACUGAAUAAAGGGAGACUGGAGGAAAGCACCAGUGGUGUAGUGGUAUCAUGCAAGGUUCCCAUUCUUGUGACCUGGGUUCGAUUCCCAGCUGGUGCAUGGAUAAUUUCCUGAUCAUAGCCUGUGAAAUACCUAUAUUGCAGGUUUAAUGUAAUUCAGUAACAUAUGUGUUUUGUCUCUUAUUUUAUGCUUUUUAUUGCUUGAAUUUUGGGCAGGACAACUAAGUUGCUGUGGGCUUUUUCUUUGUAAUCCAGCUGUGUAAUUGAGUGGUAUUUUAAGUUUGCUUCUGUUAAAGAGUUCACUUCUACUGAAAGUUUGCUUUUAUGUAAAUAAAUUUUGUAUGUGACCUAAGAAUUCUGGAAAUAGUAACUUACUUGUAUUUUGAACUUAUCAGCCAUAUAACUAACAUACCACUGCACUGGUAUGAAAUAUCCUGUACAUGGCCAUUCAUCAUAAAAGAGAUUAACUGAGACUUUUUGACCAAUCUAACACUUUCAGAUAUAAGGGCUAUCGUUGACACUUCCUUCUCAUCCAAAAUUGAUAGUUUUAUGUUAUAUUUGGGAAGAGGGGCCAAAAAAAGCUGUUUAGUAUUCAAAUCUCAUCUCCUUCAAACAUAAGGGCCGUCCAUUCCAAUGAAUAGGAAGUCAGGCAAAAAUGCCAGGAGGCUUGCAUGGAUGAACAAGGAGCUCCAGGCAAAACUCAGAUGCAAAAAAGAAGAAUAUAGAGAGUGCAAUACAGAAAGUGGAAUCAGGGACAGGCAACCUAGGAGAAAUACAGCAGCAUUGUAUGAGCAUGUAGAGAUGCAGUUGGAAAAGUUGAAGCCAAAAUGAUAUUUCUUCAGGCAAGAAAUAUCAAAGACAACAAGAAGGACUUUAAGUCCAGACAUCACAAAAGGAGGACUACAGAAAAUGUGAGCCCAUUGCUGCUUGGGGCAGGGAACCUGAUGGCACAGGAAAAUGCUGCAGUACUGAAUUCCUUCUUUUCUCCAGUCUGUUCUGCAAGAGCCAGUCUUCAGGAAUCCUGGGUCCCAGAGACCAAGAGGAAAAGCUGGAGAAAGGAAUGGAUAUACUUCAUGGAAAGGAAUCAGAUCGGUCAGUACUUAUUCAAAAUGGAGAUUCAUAAUCCCAUGGGAUCUACAGACUAGUCGCCCUUGCCUCAAUCCACAGAAAAUGAUGGAGCAGUUAAUCCCACAAAACAUUUUCAAGGUAUGUUUCACAAAGGCAAGAAAGUCAUCAUGAGUAGUGUGCAAGGAUUCACCAAAGAAAUGUCAUGCUGGACCAGUUAUCAAACAGAAGUAACUGGCCUGGUAGGCAGGUGGAGAACAGUGGAAAUUGUCUGCCUGGACUUACACUGUCUCCCAUUAAGAUCCUCAUAGACAAGCUAUUGAUCCAAGGGCUAGAUAAGCAGACAGUGAGGUGAACUGAAAAUUAGCUGAAUGGCCAAGCCCAGAGGGUGGUGCUCAGUGGCACAAGGUCAAUUUGAGGGCCACUGCUGUGUGCUGAAAUAUUUACACAAAUGAAUAUUCCACCGUACAAUCAGGGGAAUUUUAUGGUUUAAGUAUCUAAGGAUUGUUAGUUGUUAGUCUUAGAAAUUAGGAUUUUAGAGGUGAUUCAGAUAAAGCCUCUGCUUAUUUGCUGUCUUACAUCCUUUUAUUAAAACGUAUUUAUCAAAUAUCACUUAGCAGUUCAAGUAGACUCUAUCAAUCACCCGUAUAUCCCUUCUCACAUUCUAAUUGAAUCCUUCAGAAAAUGAACGAAUUUUUAGACACUGUUGCCUGGUCAUGCUGAUCCCUCUCCUGUGCAUCAAGUUUUCCAUUUGGAAGCAAAUUUUUUUAAUAGUAAUUCAAUAAUUAAUGAGUUAUUCAAUAAUAUGAGAUUGCUUCUUAGGACUUUACAGAUUUUAUCUAUUUUGGAAUUUGGGUUCUUUUUCCCCCCUAUCAUGCUUUGUUUUCUGAGUGUUCAUGAUAAGUGUCUUUAAGUCCUUGUGAUCAUCGGUUUGCCUUACUUUGUCUCUAGUAAACUUCCUGUCAGAUGUGUUUGAAGAAGUACUUGGUUUAUGUCUCUUGCAGGUUUUUCCAAAUACUCUUGUUUACCUUGCCUGUUGCAUUUUUAUAUCUAAAUAAGCAAAGUUCAGGAUCUUUUCUGUUUUCCUCUUUUAGACAUAUUUUCAACCUUUUGUCUCACUACUAAUAGUUCCCCUUCUGUUAAUGACAUUGAUUUUUUUUUUAUAUUUCCAAAAAGUCUGUCAAUGCUUUCUCACAUUUUAAGCCUCCAAUGUGGUAUCUGUAAGUAAUCUCUCUUUGGCUUGCAAGUAUUUUAUUUUUAGAUGUUAGACAAUAAAGUUUUUAAUUAACUAAUUUUUAUAAAACUUUUUUUUUUCCAAUUUUGACUGCAGUGUUACUUUUUUGGAGUUUGUUGUUCUUUAAGCUGUUUUUGCAAGUGUAG